Molecule: RNA transcript, 4516 nt
Organism: Ictalurus furcatus (blue catfish)
Lineage: Eukaryota; Metazoa; Chordata; Actinopteri; Siluriformes; Ictaluridae
Gene name: NACHT, LRR and PYD domains-containing protein 4E-like
Exons: 10
Source: RefSeq, a predicted model, not a curated record
AUCUACAUCUAAAGCUAUAAUAUAUAAACACACUGAAUGUACACUAGAUGCAGAAGAGUUUUGUGGGUUUGUACUGAAGUUUGAAUGUACACAGGUUGUUUUAUGACUUGAUACAGAGACUAUUUCCUGUAAGUGAACUCUGUGCUGAUACAGGGUUUGAUUUAACACACCGAUGUUGGAGUGAAGUAAACGUGUGUCCUGCUGUAAUCUGGAGAAGGAGACAUGACCUCCAACAUGAGUGUGUCUGGAAAACAGGACUUAAAGAGAGACGAGAGAAUGAUGAAGGGAAAGAGAUCAGACUCACCAGAACCCAGCUGUGUGUCCAUGAAGAGUGACUGGUCAAUGGAUAUUCCAAAUCACUUCAGAGACGGAGCCAGUUCUCCUGAUGUGAGACCACAACAGAAGAAAUCAAACCUCAGCAGAAAUCAGCUGGACUCCAUAUUCAAGGAGCUGGAACACAAAGUCAUCACCCUGAUAAAGAAUGAGCUGGAGAGGUUUAGGAAGCUCCUGAGUCCAGAUUACCCAGCAUGCACUGAGAGGGAGGUGCAGGAUGAGGAGGAUCUGCACAGUGUCAGAGACGGAGCGCUGAAGAUCACACUGCAUGUCCUGAAGAACAUGAACCACACAGAUCUCGCUAACACACUGCACAACAAGUCUGUGGCCUCUGUGUAUCAGACAAAGCUGAAAUCCAGCCUGAGAGAGAAGUUUAAAAGAAUUAAUGAAGGAAUCUCACAGCAUGGAAGCUCAGCACUUCUGAAUGAGAUCUACACAGAGCUCUACAUCACAGAGGGUUGGAGUGGAGACGUCAAUAAUGAACAUGAGGUGAGACAGAUUGAGACAGCGUCCAGGAGACCAGCAACACAGGAGACACCCAUCAAAUGUAAUGAUCUCUUUAAAGACAAGUCCAUCAGAAGUGUGCUGACUAAAGGAGUUGCUGGAAUUGGAAAAACAGUCUCUGUGCAGAAGUUCAUUCUGGACUGGGCUGAAGGAAACGCAAAUCAGGACGUCACCUUCAUGUUUCCACUUCCCUUUAGAGAGCUGAAUCUGAUGAAGCAGGAACAUCUCAGUCUGAUGGAUCUUCUUCAUCACUUUUUCCCUGAAAUGAGAAAACAACAAUUAAUAGCCUCCUACAAAGUGCUGUUGAUCUUUGAUGGUCUGGAUGAGUGUCGACUUCCUCUAAAUUUCCAGAAGAAUGAGAGAUUGUGUGAUGUGACAGAGUCAGCCUCAGUGGACGUGCUGCUGACGAACCUCAUCAAGGGGAAUCUGCUUCCCUCUGCUCUCCUCUGGAUAACCUCUCGACCAGCAGCAGCCAAUCAGAUCCCUCCUGAGUGUGUAGACCAGGUAACAGAGGUACGAGGGUUCAGUGAUCCUCAGAAAGAGGAGUACUUCAGGAAGAGGAUCAGUGAUCGGAGCCUGGCCAAUAAAAUCAUCUCACACAUGAAGUCUUCAAGAAGCCUCUACAUCAUGUGCCACAUCCCAGUCUUCUGCUGGAUCUCGGCCACUGUUCUAGAGAGAAUGUUGGGUGAAGCAGAGAGUGGAGAGAUCCCCAAGACUCUGACUCAAAUGUUCACACACUUCCUGAUCUUUCAGAUCAAACACAAGGACCAAAAGUACCAUCAGAAAUGUGACCCUGAUCCUCAGCAGACCAGAGAGAGUAUCCUGGCACUGGGAAAACUGGCUUUCCAACAGCUGGAGAAAGGAAACCUGAUCUUCUAUGAGGAAGACCUGAGAGAGUGUGGCAUUGAUGUGAGAGAAGCGUCAGUGUACUCAGGAGUGUGUACCCAGAUCUUCAGAGAGGAGUUUGGGCUUCACCUGGGGAAGGUGUUCAGCUUUGUACAUCUGAGUGUUCAGGAGUUUCUGGCUGCUUUAUACACAUUUCUCUCCUUCAUCAGCAGAAAUGUAACAGAACAACCAACCACUGAUCUGUCUGAUCUUCUCAACAAGUCAGACAUGUCUGAUCUCCUCAGGAGUGCAGUGGACAAGGCCUUACAGAGUGAGAACGGACACCUGGACCUGUUCCUCCGCUUCCUUCUGGGUCUCUCACUGGAGUCCAGUCAGACUCUCUUACGAGGCUUAAUGCCACAGACAGGAAGCAGCUCUCACAGCAAACAGGAAACAGUCGAGUACAUCAAGGAGAAGAUCAGGGAGAAUCCAUCUCCAGAGAAAUCCAUCAAUCUGUUCCACUGUCUGAAUGAACUGAAUGAUCAUUCUCUAGUGCAGGAAGUACAACGUUACCUGAACAGAGGAGGUUACAGUCGUCUCAGUGGAACCAGACUCUCUCCUGCUCAGUGGUCAGCUCUGGUGUUUGUGUUACUGAACUCAGAUCAGGAGCUGGAUGUGUUUGAUUUGACUAAAUAUGACCCAUCAGAGGAAUGUCUUCUGAAUCUGCUGCCAGUGGUCAAAGCCUCCAGAAGAGCUGAGCUGUGUGGGUGUAAUCUGACAGAGGAAAGCUGUAGAGUUCUGUCCUCAGUUCUCAGAUCAAACUCCUCCAGACUGAGAGAACUGGACCUGAGUUACAAUAACCUGCAGGAUUCAGGAGUGAAGCUGCUCUCUGCUGGACUGGAGAAUCCACACUGUACACUGGAGACACUGAGAAUCCCUUCUAUUGUGCGCUGGAAGAUCGCUGGACUUGAAGCAACUCCAAAUGGUGGCCUGUUUUGUGUGUUCCCUGAUAGUCAAUGAUUGCUGGAGCUCUGGAAAUAGCAGGUGAGAUUGCAGGCCGGAGUCCCGUCGCUGUCCAGGGAACCAAAAUCAACCUCCUCUACUCCUGAGACCACAGUGUGACUGAGAGCCUAGACUACAUGGCUACUUGGAACAUGAACAUGUUGCAGACACAGGAUCUUAUGAAGUCAGCGCAGGCAGCCCUGGAAAAGAAGAGUCCGAAAGACGUGCCCUUCUCCAAGCUUUAAAGGAGAAGAUCCAGGGCUGUUGAAGCUGCGGUGGAACUGAGACUUCAUCAUCCACAGAUCUUUAGUUCUUCUUGUUAAGUCUCAGUUUCUUUUUAGUCUUUUUAUUUUUAUACUGGUCAAAAGACUGAUUAGUGGAAGUGAAAUGAUGGAUGAACUUUUAAUUACUUGCUUUAUUAUGUGCAGGUGCCUUGUACAAUAAGACAGGGUAACUAAUACUCAAAAGCUUGUUUUGUGUGUUAACAUGUACAGUAGAUGUACAUAUUUUUUCUGGUCCUGUGUGACUGCAGAAUGUAGUGCAGUUAACACAGUAAAUUUCCUUGGAUGCUCACUUUUAACUCGAGGAGGUCACAGUUUGCCCAGACAUCUUUUUUUAAAUCCGUCAAUCCGUCACCCACACGUCAUUCUGGGGGACGAAGAGGAGGAAGCUGGACAGAUACAUUUAUUUAUUUAUUUAUCAUUGCUGUGUUUCCUCAAUCGAGUGCAGAAAGAAGAGAAACAAAACAACUGAUUUAAAAUAAAAAUAUAGAAAACAAUCUAAUGUAAGGUUCUGAUCCGGUUUGCUUUCAGCAGGAAGGCUGUCCUCUUUCCUGUUGCUCUUUCUCUUCUAUUAGUCCAUUUGUCCAGUCUGAAUCGGUUUGAUUUGUUUCGAGACGAUUCGGAGUCAAAUAAUUUUCUAGUGAGAGUCGCACACUUCCAAACGAACUAGACUGAGAUGAGUAUUUGAUUCUCACUAGAAAGUGAUUAGACUCUGAAUCAACUCGAAAUGAAUCAGUCAAACUGAUUCAGACUCUAUAAAAGGACUAUGAGAUGUGAUUAAGAUAUAUAUUCCAAUGUUUUGCUUUACAAUUCCACUGUGUGUGUGUGUGUGUGUGUGUGUGUGUGUGUGUGUGUGUGUGCGCGCGCGCACGUGUGUUUUUCAGGAGAACGAGAAACUCUGACACAACAGUACAUCCUGACCAUUGGUACUGUGUACACAUCAACAUACACGCACGUCUCCAUGCUGGACAUCUCAGGAGCUUUCACACACGGUGCUAGGAAUAUCCCGGGACAGAGAAACGCACCUCCUAAGUGAGCGAGUUUAGCGUCAACCGGUGAAAUUUGCUGUAGCGUGAACACUUCGCCUCUGAACAGAAAUGAUCUUUCGAGGCAGCUUCUUCAUCACUACCUGCUCCGUUUGACUCAAAAAUGUAACGACCGGUUUCAAAAAGUCACGAUGUCUUCAGUUCAUGUGAUUUUACUGUUGAAUUUAAACAGGAAAUGUGAAAUAUUUUUGUUCCUUUGUUUCCUCUACUGUCUUUUUGCUGUGAUCUUGAACACAGUUGUAAUUUUUUUUUUAAUAAUAAAUAAUUGAUCAUUCUAGUUCUCUCACUUUCCUUGUCCUAAUUGUCCUGUAUCUGUUAAAUCCGUUUCAUCUCUGGUCUUUCUGUCUGUAUGAACACUUGUAGAAAUGACAUGUAGUCCAUAUUUUUAAAUGAUUCAUGAUUUUGAAUUUAAAUAAAGAUAUUCUUUAAUUCUGUAUUUUGUCAUUUAAUUAUCAUUAGAAAUCAGAAGAUCAGAUUAAAGCCACGGCUUCUUUACCUGCCGAAGCUGUAAAACUUUCAAUAAAC